This 732-nucleotide ribosomal RNA is filed under the name Methanolinea sp. Its description in RNAcentral is "bacterial SSU rRNA". It matches the Rfam family "Archaeal small subunit ribosomal RNA", at positions 1 to 741 of the family's 1478-position model. Lineage: Archaea; Methanobacteriati; Methanobacteriota; Methanomicrobia; Methanomicrobiales; Methanoregulaceae. The record is from RNAcentral.
AUUCUGGUUGAUCCUGCCAGAGGCCACUGCUAUCGGGGUUCGAUUAAGCCAUGCGAGUCGAGAGGUGAAAGACCUCGGCGUACUGCUCAGUAACACGUGGACAACCUACCCUAAGGAGGGGGAUAACCCCGGGAAACUGGGGAUAAUACCCCAUAGACUAGAGAAGCUGGAAUGCUCUCAAGUCCAAAGGUCCGCCGCCUUAGGAUGGGUCUGCGGUCGAUUAGGUUGUUGUUGGGGUAACGGCCCAACAAGCCCGUGAUCGAUACGGGUUGUGAGAGCAAGAGCCCGGAGAUGGAUUCUGAGACACGAAUCCAGGCCCUACGGGGCGCAGCAGGCGCGAAAACUUUACAAUGCGGGAAACCGUGAUAAGGGAACCCCGAGUGCCCGUAAAUUCGGGCUGUCCAUCAGCGUAAAUAACUGGUGAAGAAAGGGCCGGGCAAGACCGGUGCCAGCCGCCGCGGUAAUACCGGCGGCUCGAGUGGUGGCCACUAUUAUUGGGCUUAAAGCGUCCGUAGCUUGGUUGUUAAGUCUCUUGGGAAAUCUACCGGCUCAACCGGUAGGCGUUCAGGAGAUACUGGCAAUCUAGGGACCGGGAGAGGUGAGAGGUACUCCAGGGGUAGGAGUGAAAUCCUGUAAUCCUUGGGGGACCACCUGUGGCGAAGGCGUCUCACUAGAACGGCUCCGACAGUGAGGGACGAAAGCUGGGGGAGCAAACCGGAUUAGAUACCCGGG